GGGGCCAUAGCUCAGCUGGUAGAGCACCUGCAUGGCAUGCAGGGGGUCAGCGGUUCAAGUCCGCUUGGCUCCA
Molecule: transfer RNA, 73 nt
Organism: Prochlorococcus marinus str. MIT 9211
Lineage: Bacteria; Bacillati; Cyanobacteriota; Cyanophyceae; Synechococcales; Prochlorococcaceae
Rfam family: tRNA
About the family: Transfer RNA (tRNA) molecules are approximately 80 nucleotides in length.
Source: Rfam